RNAcentral lists this ribosomal RNA (253 nucleotides) under uncultured bacterium. RNAcentral describes it as "partial 16S ribosomal RNA". It matches the Rfam family "Bacterial small subunit ribosomal RNA", at positions 524 to 776 of the family's 1533-position model. The record is from RNAcentral.
UACGUAGGUGGCAAGCGUUGUCCGGAUUUCCUGGGCGUAAAGAGCGCUCAGGCUGUCGUUCAAGUCGCGUGUGAAAGCCCCCGGCUCAACUGGGGAGGGUCACGCGAUACUGAUCGACUCGAAGGCAGGAGAGGGUAGUGGAAUUCCCGGUGUAGUGGUGAAAUGCGUAGAUAUCGGGAGGAACACCAGUGGCGAAGGCGACUACCUGGCCUGUUCUUGACGCUGAGGCGCGAAAGCUAGGGGAGCAAACGGG